AGAGUUUGAUCCUGGCUCAGAAUGAACGCUGGCGGCAUGGAUUAGGCAUGCAAGUCGAACGGUGAACUGGGAGCUUGCUCCCGGGGAUCAGUGGCGAAAGGGUGAGUAACACGUGAGUAACCUGCCCCCGAGUCGGGAAUAGCCCCGGGAAACCGGGAUUAAUACCUGAUAUGGUUGUCCUGCGCAUGCGGGAUGGACUAAAGAUUUAUCGCUCGGGGAUGGGCUCGCGUCCCAUUAGCUUGUUGGUGAGGUAACGGCCCACCAAGGCUGUGACGGGUAGGUGGUCUGAGAGGAUGGUCACCCACACUGGGACUGAGACACUGCCCAGACUCCUACGGGAGGCUGCAGUCGAGAAUCAUCCGCAAUGGGCGAAAGCCUGACGGUGCGAUGCCGCGUGAGGGAUGAAGGCCUUCGGGUUGCAAACCCCUGUCAGGAGGGACGAAGAAGUGACGGUACCUCCAGAGGAAGCCACGGCUAACUACGUGCCAGCAGCCGCGGUAAUACGUAGGUGGCGAGCGUUAUUCGGAUUCACUGGGCGUAAAGGGUUCGCAGGGGGUUUGCCAAGUCCGAUGUGAAAUCUCACGGCUCAACUGUGAAACUGCAUUGGAUACUGGUGAGCUAGAGUGCACGAGGGGUGAGCGGAAUUCCAGGUGUAGCGGUGGAAUGCGUAGAUAUCUGGAAGAACACCGAUGGCGAAGGCGGCUCACUGGCGUGCUACUGACCCUCAGGGACGAAAGCGUGGGGAGCAAACAGGAUUAGAUACCCUGGUAGUCCACGCUGUAAACGUUGUGCACUAGAUGUGGGCGGAUUCAAUCCCGUCCGUGUCCAAGCUAACGCGUUAAGUGCACCGCCUGGGGACUACGGCCGCAAGGCUAAAACUCAAAGGAAUUGACGGGGGCCCGCACAAGCGGUGGAGCAUGUGGCUCAAUUCGAGGCAACGCGAAGAACCUUACCUGGGUUUGACAUGUACUGGAUCGCCUGUGAAAGCAGGUUUUCCUUCGGGACCGGUACACAGGUGCUGCAUGGCUGUCGUCAGCUCGUGUCGUGAGAUGUUCGGUUAAGUCCGGCAACGAGCGCAACCCGUAUCGUCAGUUGCUAACAGGUAAUGCUGAGGACUCUGGCGAGACUGCCCGUGUCAAGCGGGAGGAAGGCGCGGAUGACGUCAAGUCCGUAUGGCCCUUACGUCCAGGGCUGCACACGUGCUACAAUGGGCGGCACAAAGAGACGCAAGACCGCGAGGUGGAGCAAAUCUCGAAAACCGUCCCCAGUUCGGAUUGGAGUCUGCAAUUCGACUCCAUGAAGCCGGAAUCGCUAGUAAAGGGGUAUCAGCAACGGCCCCUUGAAUACGUUCCCGGGCCUUGUACACACCGCCCGUCACAUCAUGGAAGCUGGCUGCACCCGAAGUCGUUGACCCAACUCUUCGGAGAGGGAGACGCCGAAGGUGUGUCCAGUGACUGGGAUGAAGUCGAAACAAGGUA
This 1478-nucleotide ribosomal RNA is filed under the name metagenome. Its description in RNAcentral is "bacterial SSU rRNA". It matches the Rfam family "Bacterial small subunit ribosomal RNA". The record is from RNAcentral.